UGGGGAAUUUUGGACAAUGGGCGAAAGCCUGAUCCAGCCAUGCCGCGUGAGUGAAGAAGGCCUUCGGGUUGUAAAGCUCUUUCGCAAGGAAAGAAAACUUAUCUACUAAUACUAGGUGAGGUUGACGGUACCUUGAUAAGAAGCACCGGCUAACUACGUGCCAGCAGCCGCGGUAAUACGUAGGGUGCGAGCGUUAAUCGGAAUUACUGGGCGUAAAGCGUGCGCAGGCGGUUCGAUAAGUCUGAUGUGAAAUCCCCGGGCUCAACCUGGGAACUGCGUUGGAAACUGUCGAGCUAGAGUGUAGAAGAGGGGGGUAGAAUUCCACGUGUAGCAGUGAAAUGCGUAGAGAUGUGGAGGAAUACCGAUGGCGAAGGCAGCCCCCUGGGCUAACACUGACGCUCAUGCACGAAAGCGUGGGGAGCAAACAGG
RNAcentral lists this ribosomal RNA (429 nucleotides) under uncultured Methylophilaceae bacterium. Its description in RNAcentral is "bacterial SSU rRNA". It matches the Rfam family "Bacterial small subunit ribosomal RNA", at positions 355 to 776 of the family's 1533-position model. Lineage: Bacteria; Pseudomonadati; Pseudomonadota; Betaproteobacteria; Nitrosomonadales; Methylophilaceae. The record is from RNAcentral.